UUAGUCUUGUAAAUUCCUUUGGG
This 23-nucleotide microRNA is filed under the name Tribolium castaneum (red flour beetle). Its description in RNAcentral is "tca-miR-11622-3p". Lineage: Eukaryota; Metazoa; Arthropoda; Insecta; Coleoptera; Tenebrionidae. The record is from miRBase by way of RNAcentral.